AAGGGCACCACAAGAACGCGUGGAGCAUGUGGCUUAAUUUGACUCAACGCGGGAAAACUUACCGGGUCCGGACACACUGAGGAUUGACAGGCGAUAUAAAUAUGCUAGUCCUUUCAUGAUUGUGUGAUAGGUGGUGCAUGGCCGUUCUUAGUUCGUGGAGUGAUCUGUCUGCUUAAUUGCGUUUCAGAUAUAUGGGAAAAUGCAUGUAUACUGGCACGCACGCAAGUGUGUUGUUUGGUUGAGUGCUAUCCCUAUGAAAGCAACGAACGUGACCGCAGCCCAUUGUUAUGUGUGCAAACUUGUUAACGACACACACAAACUAUGGGGACCGCCAUGGCUUCAAGCCGGAGGAAGGUUGCGGCAAUAACAGGUCUGUGAUGCCCUUAGAUGUUCCGGGCUGCACACGUGCUACAAUGAUUGUUGCAGAAAGCAUCUACUAUUGAUUGUCUAAGAACCUGCUUUCGCAGGGGACUGGACCACGUACGAGGACCCACGCGUGUGUCACGCGCGCUUCGGUGCGUUGUGUUCGCGCGCGAGGAUGUCCAAGACGUGAAACCUACCUCGAAAGUACGGUAGGCAAUCAAUUCCAAGUGACAAUCUCCCGCGCACAAAUCAAAUGCCACCGCGGCACCUCACUCUGUGUGUGUGUUGCGGUUGACAUGUGCUCUAUUAAUUCGUGGUCGGGACAGACCAUUGCUAAUUGUUGGUCUCGGUCUCAACUAGGAAUGCCUUGUACGGGUCUUUGGUUCAACAAACCACCCGGAAUACGUCCCUGCCCUUUGUACACACCGCCCGUCGCUCUUACCGAUGGACUUCUCUGUGAGUUUGAGGGACUGACAUGAGUGCUCACGCGCUCGGUUAUGGAAACUCAAACGAACAGUGUGGUCUAAAGGAAAGAGAAGUCGUAACAAGGCAUCGGUAGGUGAACCUGCAGAAGGAUCA
RNAcentral lists this ribosomal RNA (942 nucleotides) under Foraminifera environmental sample. Its description in RNAcentral is "bacterial SSU rRNA". It matches the Rfam family "Eukaryotic small subunit ribosomal RNA", at positions 1160 to 1828 of the family's 1831-position model. Lineage: Eukaryota; Foraminifera. The record is from RNAcentral.